This 497-nucleotide ribosomal RNA is filed under the name uncultured bacterium. RNAcentral describes it as "partial 16S ribosomal RNA". It matches the Rfam family "Bacterial small subunit ribosomal RNA", at positions 28 to 507 of the family's 1533-position model. The record is from RNAcentral.
GAUGAACGCUGGCGGCGUGCCUAAUACAUGCAAGUCGAGCGAACAGACGAGGAGCUUGCUCCUCUGACGUUAGCGGCGGACGGGUGAGUAACACGUGGAUAACCUACCUAUAAGACUGGGAUAACUUCGGGAAACCGGAGCUAAUACCGGAUAACAUGUUGAACCGCAUGGUUCAACAGUGAAAGACGGUCUUGCUGUCACUUAUAGAUGGAUCCGCGCCGCAUUAGCUAGUUGGUAAGGUAACGGCUUACCAAGGCAACGAUGCGUAGCCGACCUGAGAGGGUGAUCGGCCACACUGGAACUGAGACACGGACCAAAAUCCUACGGGAGGCAGCAGUAGGGAAUCUUCCGCAAUGGGCGGAAGCCUGACGGAGCAACGGCGCGUGAGUGAAGAAGGUCUUCGGAUCGUAAAACUCUGUUAUUAGGGAAGAACAAAUGUGUAAGAAACUAUGCACGUCUUGACGGUACCUAAUCAGAAAGCCACGGCUAACUACGUG